GAAACACAUUAAUCUGUCCCUGGUCUCAUAGGGGAAACUUUCUCUCACUCUUUCAUGUUGUUUAUAUGUUGAUCUUCAUGUAACCUUUAUGUGAUAUCCCUGAAUUCCCACCAUAAAAGAACGUAAUAGACUGUGGUGAUGUGGAUAUGCCAUAAAGACUUCUUUUUUGUAUUAGAUGCAGUGGACUCUUCAGUGUACCUCAGAAUUUGUCAUGGAUGAAGCUGUUCUACUAGCACUGACUACUGACUUUUGAAACUCCUAUCUAAGUCUUCAGCCACUACUGCAAUCCUCAUGCAAGACCAAGAAGCGAAUACGUGCAAAACUUCAGGGUGAAGUCAUGGAAGACUAAAAUUUUUCUAUGUUCUCUGGAAAGAGGGAGGCUAGAGAACCCUGAUAAUCUACUCGUUCCUUUGAACAAAUAUACCUGAAUUAUAUGAGAGAAAUACUUCAGAGAAGAACUUGAAAUAAAGUGCCAGAUGUAACGAUUUAAAGAUUAAAAUUCAAAGUGGAAACAAUGGUCUUCUCCUUAGAACUUCUUUGAACAUACAGAUGGAAAGAUCUGAAGGUAUUUAUAAACACUUUUUGCAAGAAAUGCCACUUAGGAAUCGAGCUAUAAAAAUUAGAUAUUAUCACACACUUUCUUUGCAGCCAUUAAAAGUAGUUGAUUUACAGGUCCACAGUUAUUUCUAGUUACAAAGCUCCAAAGGAGCUGAAAAGGAAAGAGGAAAACUUGAUAAAUAAUGACAUUUUCAAAACGGUUUUGUGCAAAGAAUUUAUUCUUUCACAGUAAAGGGCCAUAAGGAGCAUCCUUUAGUACAAUGAAUUAAAUUUUUGUAGUAAUACAAAAAUCACAUUACUGUGUUCCUUUAAAUUACAUUACUAAAUAAAUAUUAGUUAUCCCCUUUGCCAUCCUCCAAUAAACUUGAGGCAUUUACAUCAGAAAUGUGAAACUUACUUGAACAAAUGGUAUUUAAAUCAUCUGUAGCUUGAGAAGCUAAUUAGAAAGGAAAGGAGUGCUGUUUUGUGGCUGUAUUUAUAGACCAUAUUUCCCUUCGCAGUAAACCAAGAAGUCUGUGUGUGCAACAAAAGACUAUCUAACAAGCUCUUGAAUAAAGAGUAAUCAGAAAUUGCUACAUAAAAUAUUUUCAAUAUUUUUCAUACAAACCAUGAGUACAGUGAAGCAAUCUGGAGCAGUCACAAUCUCAACUCCUAAAAAUCAUGUAAUUAGUGCACAAUUUCAUUGGGAACUAUGCCACAAGAUUAUAAGCAGAAAUGCAUUGGCUUUGAGGAGCAUAGCUGCACCAGGUGACAUCAACAAAGAAAAUCUGGCUAGAAUCAGAAACCUUGCCCGUGCUAUUACAAAAGUCUAUUUAACUAUAAUCACAAUGUAGUAAACUACUGGAACGCUACUCCAGAGAUAUUUGUCACGUAGACAAAUACAACGAUCUUGUCUAUAUCUGCACCAUUUUAAAAAAGAGUAGCAAAGUUUGCAGUAAGUACGUAUGUACAGUUUGAAUGGAUGUUUGUGCUUAUCACAGUGCAUGUGCAUACACAUUGUGAAGGGAUUUACUGCCCACGGAAAUGCAUAGGAAUGUAUUCUUUUAAACAACAUACGUCUGGAGUGCAAUUUAAAAGCCUAAGAGGGAUUUAUGUAAAGCUUCAGGAAGAAAAUGUUUUUAGAAACCAUUCUGCUCUCAAAAUAAGUGUUAGUUAAAAUCUUAAGUUCAGACUAAAAAGGAGCAAAUAGACAUACUUAACUAAAUUGCUGCAAUUUCAUAGGAAAAGCAACAGAGCAGAAAACCCAUAAGACAAUAGAGUUAUCUAAAUGAAUAACUUUCAUCAUCAUAUUCAAGCUCAUCUUCUUCAUCAUCCUCCAAAAGUCCAUACCUAAAUUUAUGAUAGACUGUGCCAUCCUGACCCAUGUAUACAAUGUCAUCUUCUUCAUCAUCAUCUUCAAUAUCUCGAUCUCUGUAUUCAAUCACUUGGUCUUCCUGAUAGCUUGGGCUCUCAUGAUAAUUGCUCGCAUAGGAAGGAAGGGUUUUGGAGUCAUUUGUCAGCUUCUCAUACCUACCUUUACUGGCAGUGCGUGGUUUUGAUUUUGAUUUUCUCCAGAUGACUACAAUGGCUCCAAUGACGAGGAUAAGUAAAAUACAGAUAAUGACAAAGAAAGCGCUCUUGUUUUUGCUUGCUGGUUGUAACUUGGUUCGUAACACACAGUCAUCUGAC
Lagopus leucura (white-tailed ptarmigan) is the source of this 2226-nucleotide long non-coding RNA. RefSeq lists it as uncharacterized. The record is from RefSeq and is a predicted model, not a curated record. The transcript is spliced from 5 exons. Lineage: Eukaryota; Metazoa; Chordata; Aves; Galliformes; Phasianidae.